This 2571-nucleotide long non-coding RNA is filed under the name Suricata suricatta (meerkat). RNAcentral's name for it is "lncRNA (ENSSSUG00005006110.1)". Lineage: Eukaryota; Metazoa; Chordata; Mammalia; Carnivora; Herpestidae. The record is from RNAcentral.
AUGGAAACUUUUAAGUUUAACACAUUAGGAAUCUUGAUGUAUUUUUUUUUUAAUUCAGACUUCAAAGCAUUUUUAAUCAGGCUGGUAAUCUGUAAUACUACAAGAUAUCAUCAAGAUCACAAUAGUAUAUGUAUUCUGUGUUAUGUUGAGCUUUGAGUCACACUGAGAGAAUGUGGAAGAAGUUAUAGGAAAAGUAAUCAUCAUUGAAACGGUUAUAUAAUUGUGUUUCUAAGAAUAAAUUAGGUUUUUUGAAAGAAAUGUAUAACUUGGUAUAAAAUGACUUGAAAACCAUUAUUUAUUAGAAAGCACUAUUAUUUUGUCAGGUAUCUUCAGAUAUUUCUAGGCUAUGCAUGAAAUUUUAUUUUUAUACUUUGACCUGUUUAUUUUCCUUAUUCAUCAUAUUCAGUGAAUUUCGAAUAGUUGAUUAGAGCAAUAAAUGAAUUUUAGUAUGAACAAAAUGUUGAGUGCAUUAUCAGCAGGCUUUCUUAUGUAGCGAGUGCUGAAUUGACAUCCAGUACUUAGUUCACUAAGUGAUCAACACUUUAAAUAUGAGAGGAAAGUCAAGAUAGUGAAAGAGGGGCUAAAAAGGGAGAGAAUAGUUUUCAAGAAACUACUUAGAUGUAAACGAUACAUGCACUCUUGCUUGAGGAUUUUUGAUGAAGCAUCUUAUUUGCAAAAAAAAAAUUAGUGCCAUAUUUUUCCUCUGAAAACUUAAUUUUAACAAGUCACGAUGUUUCGAAAGAUUUUUGGAAAAGAUAUUCUGAUUAGACCAGCUGUUGGUUUUAUUUGGGGGCCUGGAAAAUGAGAGUGAUUGCACCGGUCAAAUUGUGUAUUUGGUGUUUAGGCCCGUUCCAUGAUGGCUAGGGCGACUUCAGCGUUUCACGUGCCACCGCAGUAAGAAACCCUCCUUUCUGAAAGCAAGUCAGGUGCCAGAGAGCCCUUUCCGCCCCGAGGUAGGGGAGAGAAAGGAGAGCUUCACUCACCUCUGCUGACCUCUGCUCUAAGUCAGUCAUCCUUAGCCCCCUACAUUCCAAAGGGUUUCCCCAGCUCCAGAGCCCACCCGUCGGAACAGUGGCUUUCAGACAUCAUCUGUCAGACACUCUUUUCCCCACAUGGUCAUAUUUCUCUGCAAUUAAAGAAGAACUAGGGUUUUCUUUUCCUGCGUAAAGACCAAUUGGUAUGAUGUUAUCAAAUAAAAGAGUGCACUGUAUUAGCAAAUGCCACAUUAUGUUUUAAUUCUGUCCUUGCUAGAUUCUCCUUUAUCAAAACCAUUUCUGCCUCUCACCUAGGCAAUGCACUUAAAUUAACAUUUUUAUAGGGAUUUUAUGCAAUGUGCAUGUUGUAAAUUUCCUAACUGGGCCUAAUUUCAUUCAGUAUUUUCAGAGUAGUUACAGGAAAGCUGUCUAACUGCAAAGCACUAUAAAAAUAUUAACUGGACUGUUAAUUAAAGUUCCCCAUUAGUGCCAUUUCUAGCUGUGGCAAAGCGCAGGUCUCUCUCUAGCCUCCCUGGGGCCCCUGCUCGCUAUGAUGUCAGUGCAGCCGCUGAAGAGAACGUUGGUGUAUGAUAGUGUGCAGCCGUGUUAGGUGUUCACCAUAGUUCGUCCUUUAUUUAAAAAGGAGAGAGUACAGAACAGAGAUAGUGGAAAUAAUAAGUAACAGAUUUUAAAAUAAUACCCAUGGCUCAGUAUUUUCUGUUCAGUAAUAAAAAUAAAUUGGUAAAAUGCAUUGUUUUUUAAAAUGAGUAUUCGGCUUACCUAGCUUCCUGAAAAUUUGAGAACUUUGAUCUUAAAGGUGGAACAAGACACUUCCUAACAUGAAAUGGCCAACCGUACUAAUUGAUACUUUAUUCUGGACAAUCUUGUUUAUGCCACUAGUGCUCACUCGGCUAAAUGCCUUAAUGAAGGUGGGUGGUUUUCACCUAGAAGAUAAGAAAACAUGCUUAAGAAAUGACUAGAAAUGCUAUUUAUUGCCCUCUGAUAAAGGACAACUCACUCUCAUUCUUAAAAUUUCAUAUCAAAAUUAGCUUGUUCUUAGGUACACACACACACCAGUAAUCUAUGUGAAUUAAAUACUAAUAUUAAUAUACCAUUUAAAUUGGGUCCAGAAAGAUGACAUAUUGAAAGAUCACUCCAAAAUUCAUUUUACUAGAAUUUUCUUGAUAACAGUAAAAUACAUGCUUAUACCGUGAAUAAACUAAGCUGUGGAUUUUUGUUCAUCAAAAUGAUUUUGUUAGUUUGAAAACUAAGUUAUCAUUGCACUUGAGUUAAUUCUUUUUCUUUUAACUUAUUUUUCUUUAUUAUAUGAAAAAACUGUUUUAAAGUACUGUAACUUCUGAAUUUUCAAUAAAAUACAAUUAUUUUGCUUGCAAAUGCCUUUUCAAAGGAAUUUGUCUUUUAUAAGGUUAAAUGAUACUGACAAGUAUCACAAGCUGAAAAUGGCAAUCAUAUUAUAGUCUCAUAAUAUUUUAAUCAGUCUUUGUGGUUAAUUCUUUGUCACGUGUGAUCUUCAAUGUUGGAAGUUGAUAUUAUGUACCUCUAAGAUUUGUGAGCAGAAAUUGAUGAAAAAUGAAGG